This 243-nucleotide ribosomal RNA is filed under the name uncultured Streptococcaceae bacterium. RNAcentral's name for it is "partial 16S ribosomal RNA". It matches the Rfam family "Bacterial small subunit ribosomal RNA", at positions 524 to 767 of the family's 1533-position model. The record is from RNAcentral. Lineage: Bacteria; Bacillati; Bacillota; Bacilli; Lactobacillales; Streptococcaceae.
UACGUAGGUCCCGAGCGUUGUCCGGAUUUAUUGGGCGUAAAGCGAGCGCAGGCGGUUUGAUAAGUCUGAAGUUAAAGGCUGUGGCUCAACCAUAGUUCGCUUUGGAAACUGUCAAACUUGAGUGCAGAAGGGGAGAGUGGAAUUCCAUGUGUAGCGGUGAAAUGCGUAGAUAUAUGGAGGAACACCGGUGGCGAAAGCGGCUCUCUGGUCUGUAACUGACGCUGAGGCUCGAAAGCGUGGGGA